GCAAACUUGGUCAUUUAGAGGAAGUAAAAGUCGUAACAAGGUUUCCGUAGGUGAACCUGCGGAAGGAUCAUUAAUAGAAUGAAACUUUGAGUCAGGGUUGUAGCUGACCUCCUUCAUGAAAGGGGGGGGUAUGUGCACACCUUGAUUUGAGCAUUCAUAAUAUAUAUAUACCUCUCUUACACCUGUGCACAACCAGUAGCCAUGGAGAGAUUUUACCAUCUCUCUCUGCGCUAUGUAUUUUACAUACACACCAUAAUAAAAAGAAUAGAUGAUAAUGAUGAAUAAUAAUUACAACUUUCAGCAACGGAUCUCUUGGCUCUUGCAUCGAUGAAGAACGCAGC
RNAcentral lists this unclassified non-coding RNA (341 nucleotides) under uncultured fungus. Its description in RNAcentral is "partial contains small subunit ribosomal RNA, internal transcribed spacer 1, and 5.8S ribosomal RNA". The stretch from base 1 to 73 matches the Rfam family "Eukaryotic small subunit ribosomal RNA", at positions 1759 to 1831 of the family's 1831-position model. Lineage: Eukaryota; Fungi. The record is from RNAcentral.